GAGCAGAGGGGGCACAGGAGCAUCACAAGAUCUAGCAACCCUUUAGGAGUAUUCACAAGAGAAGUCUAUGCAAAGUAGCAUGCACUCAAACCACUUGGUGAAGCAGCUGGACCAGUCUGAAGCAGGUAUCCUGAGACUGUGACAUAUCUUCCACAGUUGGAAUGGAUAGGUUGUGGAUGUGGGUUGUGGUUGCUACUAAUCCUCUGUGUCCUCCUGUGCUGUGUCAUCUGCAUGUUCUGCUGUAUCUACCUUCAAGAAGAUGAUGUGAGUUGGGCUGCCAAUAUCUUCAACCACAACUACUGAUGCUGUUAGUGGAUUUGCUUGCAAAGUUCCUGAAAAGGAGUUAACUUUUUUUGUUGUUGCUGUUUAGGUUACUUAAAAAUUUUUACUUUGCAGAAUUGCUGUUCUUAAAAAUGUUGUGUCUUUAAAGUCUGAACUACAUUAUUACAUGACAAUAUAAAGUAGUGUGCAAAAGU
Pseudophryne corroboree (corroboree frog) is the source of this 476-nucleotide long non-coding RNA. RefSeq lists it as uncharacterized. The record is from RefSeq and is a predicted model, not a curated record. The transcript has 3 exons. NCBI's taxonomy places the organism in Eukaryota, Metazoa, Chordata, Amphibia, Anura, Myobatrachidae.